Non-coding RNA from Pelobates cultripes (western spadefoot toad), 202 nucleotides. Lineage: Eukaryota; Metazoa; Chordata; Amphibia; Anura; Pelobatidae. The record is from the annotation of a GenBank genome assembly.
AGCAAAGACAUUUUUUCAAUAAAGUUUAGUGAAUAAAAAAAGGUAAAACAACAGAGUAACUGAAAUGGAACGUUGGUAGCCAAUCAGCAUCCAGUAUAGUCCAUCUAGUGAACGAUCCCCAAAUAUUCUCCCUCUUUCGAGCUGCGAAUGUAGAAGAAGUGUCUAGUAGAGUAGCUCCAAGGAUAGAAUGAUGAAACUCCAA